RNAcentral lists this ribosomal RNA (459 nucleotides) under uncultured bacterium. Its description in RNAcentral is "bacterial SSU rRNA". It matches the Rfam family "Bacterial small subunit ribosomal RNA", at positions 30 to 478 of the family's 1533-position model. The record is from RNAcentral.
AUUGAACGCUGGCGGCAUGCCUUACACAUGCAAGUCGAACGGCAGCACGGGAGCAAUCCUGGUGGCGAGUGGCGAACGGGUGAGUAAUAUAUCGGAACGUGCCCAGUCGUGGGGAUAACGUAGCGAAAGCUACGCUAAUACCGCAUACGAUCUAUGGAUGAAAGCGGGGGAUCGCAAGACCUCGCGCGAUUGGAGCGGCCGAUAUCAGAUUAGGUAGUUGGUGAGGUAAAGGCUCACCAAGCCGACGAUCUGUAGCUGGUCUGAGAGGACGACCAGCCACACUGGGACUGAGACACGGCCCAGACUCCUACGGGAGGCAGCAGUGGGGAAUUUUUGGGACAAUGGGCGCAAGCCUGAUCCAGCCAUGCCGCGUGCAGGAAGAAGGUCCUAUGGAUUGUAAACUGCUUUUUAUACGGUAACGAAACGGUGAGCUCUAAUACAGUUUGCUAAUGACGGUAC